Molecule: long non-coding RNA, 750 nt
Organism: Herpailurus yagouaroundi (jaguarundi)
Lineage: Eukaryota; Metazoa; Chordata; Mammalia; Carnivora; Felidae
Exons: 5
Source: RefSeq, a predicted model, not a curated record
CGAAGUAUUAGAUGAAAAAUUUGAAAAGUCCCGUCUGUCCUUGGAAUGUAAUCUCUUAUGAAGCAGCCUGGAAAAAUGCUAAAGAGCAAAAGAGUACGUUUUAUUCUGAGUUCUUUUGAGGCUGAAGCCGACAUUUGAACUAUCUCCAAGAUUGUGAUCUCUGCAGAGAUAUUUAUUGCACCUUGAUGAAGAUGAAUGGUGUGACAAUAAAUAAGACACUUCUCUCUCCUGCCUGGGUCUGCCCUUGAGACACAAGAACGUGUGGCACACAGCACCGUGGGAGCAUCAGGGAUCCGCAUCAUGCCCAGAGCUGACAGAGUGCCCUGAGUAAUGGCGGCAACCUUCCAAAACACACCAGUGGGGCCUCCAUCUAUAGCCGUACCAGACAACAAUGACCCCUAACUCCACAAUACAUCUUGUUCAUCAUUCCUUAUAUGACCAAACAGAAUGGGAUUGGAAAUGCUGGUCAAAAGUAAUGAGGCACCUGGGAAACAGAAAGAAAGCUUGUCCUUCACAGCCCUGUCCACUGAAGUGGUUUCAGUACACAGGCUUCCUGCCAACAUCUCCCGCUGGAGACUGCACGGCGCCUCCAGGGAAAUAUCACUUGCCCAGGCGGACCUCUGCGACUGAAAGCAGAGAAGGGAAAAGCAGAAGACGGAUCUGAGUGAAAACAGGCAAAUGACUGGCAUGAAGGGAAACCAAAAAGAUGACAAGUAUUAACAUAUUCAUAAAAGCCAAUGCGAGCAAAGA